Molecule: long non-coding RNA, 533 nt
Filed under: Olea europaea subsp. europaea
Lineage: Eukaryota; Viridiplantae; Streptophyta; Magnoliopsida; Lamiales; Oleaceae
Source: RNAcentral
GUCUAUAAUUUGGGAUCGACAAAAAAGAAAAUCAAAAUUGUCUAUAUAGGAAGGAAAUCUUUUAUAAAUUAUUAAUUUGGAGUGAAAAAGCUGAUUAAUACAUGUAAUUAAGCAACAAACAGAAUACACACACAACAUUAAUUAUUCGCAUAAUACAUACAUUUAUAAAGGACAACAAACGGGAACACUGAUCAUGUUUGGCUUAGCUUAAGAGUAAAAGAUAAGCCAGUUUCUUUUGUAGAAGAAGCAAAGCCGUACAUGCUCGCCAUAAUUGAUUGAUCCUUAAUCAUUGUCCUGACCUAGCGCAGAGAUUAUUGUAGGCACAAGGGCGUUUUCGGGCUGUGUGUUCAGAUUUCCAACACAACUACCGUAUGAAUUUCUCAGGCAGAAGGGUUUCAUCCGGAUGGCAGUUUGGUAAACGUUCGUUUUGGUUGGUUCAGCCAAAAUCCUUCUGCUUAUUUCUGUGGCGCUAAAACAUUCGAUCGUUUCGCUGAAGAUCAAGAAUGCCCACUGUAAAGUAAAGGAAAUUCAUG